CCUACGGGGGGCAGCAGUAGGGAAUAUUGCUCAAUGGGCGAAACCCUGAACCAGCAACGCCGCGUGGAGGAUGAAGGUUUUCGGAUUGUAAACUCCUUUUGUUAGAGACGAUAAUGACGGUAUCUAACGAAUAAGCACCGGCUAACUCCGUGCCAGCAGCCGCGGUAGUACGGAGGGUGCAAGCGUUACUCGGAAUCACUGGUCGUAAAGAGCGCGUAGGCGGGAUAGCAAGUCAGAUGUGAAAUCCUAUGGCUUAACCAUAGAACUGCAUUUGAAAAUGUUAUUCUAGAGUAGUGGAGAGGUAGGUGGAAUUCUUGGUGGAGGGGUAAAAUCCGUAGAGAUCAAGAGGAAUACUCAUGGCGAAGGCGAACUGCUAGAACAUAACUGACGCUGAUGCGCGAAAGCGUGGGGAGCAAACAGGAUUAGAUACCCGUGUAGUC
RNAcentral lists this ribosomal RNA (440 nucleotides) under uncultured bacterium. RNAcentral's name for it is "partial 16S ribosomal RNA". It matches the Rfam family "Bacterial small subunit ribosomal RNA", at positions 338 to 795 of the family's 1533-position model. The record is from RNAcentral.